AAUCUAUAGAGGCGUUUUCCGCGCCGGACCGCGUCCAAGUCUCUUGGAAUAGAGUAUCAAAGAGGGUGACAAUCCCGUACUUGACGCGACAACCGGUGCUCUGUGAUACGUUCUCAAUGAGUCGAGUUGUUUGGGAAUGCAGCUCUAAAUGGGUGGUAAAUUCCAUCUAAGGCUAAAUAUUGGCGAGAGACCGAUAGCGAACAAGUACCGUGAGGGAAAGAUGAAAAGCACUUUGGAAAGAGAGUUAAACAGCACGUGAAAUUGUUAAAAGGGAAACGAUUGAAGUCAGUCGUGUGAAAGGUAUUCAGCCGUCUCUGGCGGUGUAUUUGCCUUUCACGGGUCAACAUCAGUUUGAUCCGGUAGAAAAAGGCAGGAGGAAGGUGGCACCCUCGGGUGUGUUAUAGCCUCUUGUCAUAUGUGCCGGACCAGCUCUGUGAACCGUUGACCUCCGGGUCUA
Molecule: ribosomal RNA, 457 nt
Filed under: Cryptococcus sp. EXF-3926
Lineage: Eukaryota; Fungi; Basidiomycota; Tremellomycetes; Tremellales; Cryptococcaceae
Description: eukaryotic LSU rRNA
Rfam family: Eukaryotic large subunit ribosomal RNA
Source: RNAcentral